GACGAACGCUGGCGGCGUGCUUAACACAUGCAAGUCGAACGGAAAGGCCUGCUUUCCCUUGUGGAUUGCGGGUACUCGAGUGGCGAACGGGUGAGUAACACGUGAGUGAUCUGCCCCCAACUUGGGUAUAAGCCUGGGAAACUGGGUCUAAUUCCCGAUAGGACUGCAGGGUGGUGCCUGUGGUGGAAAACGAUUUUCUAGUGGUUGGGGAUGAGCUCGCGGCCUAUCAGCUUGUUGGUGGGGUAAUGGCCUACCAAGGCGGCGACGGGUAGCCGGCCUGGGAGGGUGGACGGCCACAGUGGGACUGAGAUACGGCCCAGACUCCUACGGGAGGCAGCAGUGGGGAAUAGUGCACAAUGGGCGGAAGCCUGAUGCAGCGACGCCGCGUGGGGGAUGUCGGCCUUCGGGUUGUAAACUCCUUUCGACCGCGAGGAAGCCACCUGGUUGGAAGGGUGGUGACGGUAGUGGUAGAAGAAGCACCGGCUAACUACGUG
Molecule: ribosomal RNA, 494 nt
Filed under: uncultured bacterium
Lineage: Bacteria
Description: partial 16S ribosomal RNA
Rfam family: Bacterial small subunit ribosomal RNA
Source: RNAcentral